Molecule: regulatory RNA element, 54 nt
Organism: Astyanax mexicanus (Mexican tetra)
Lineage: Eukaryota; Metazoa; Chordata; Actinopteri; Characiformes; Acestrorhamphidae
Rfam family: UnaL2 LINE 3' element
About the family: The eel long interspersed element (LINE) UnaL2 and its partner short interspersed element (SINE) share a conserved 3' tail containing a stem-loop that is critical for their retrotransposition.
Source: Rfam
GUAUUUCAUUAUUGUAAGUCGCUUUGGACAAAAGCGUCUGCCAAAUGAAAUGUA